AGUGAACGCUGGCGGUAGGCCUAACACAUGCAAGUCGAACGGCAGCACAGUAAGAGCUUGCUCUUACGGGUGGCGAGUGGCGGACGGGUGAGGAAUACAUCGGAAUCUACUUUUUCGUGGGGGAUAACGUAGGGAAACUUACGCUAAUACCGCAUACGACCUACGGUUGAAAGCAGGGGAUCUUCGGACCUUGCGCGAUUGAAUGAGCCGAUGUCGGAUUAGCUAGUUGGCGGGGUAAAGGCCCACCAAGGCGACGAUCCGUAGCUGGUCUGAGAGGAUGAUCAGCCACACUGGGACUGAGACACGGUCAAGACUCCUACGGGAGGCAGCAGUGGGGAAUAUUGGACAAUGGGCGCAAGCCUGAUCCAGCCAUACCGCGUGGGUGAAGAAGGCCUUCGGGUUGUAAAGACCUUUUGUUGGGAAAGAAAAGCAGCAGGUUAAUACCCCGCUGUUCUGACGGUACCCAAAGAAUAAGCACCGGCUAACUUCGUG
RNAcentral lists this ribosomal RNA (492 nucleotides) under uncultured bacterium. RNAcentral describes it as "partial 16S ribosomal RNA". It matches the Rfam family "Bacterial small subunit ribosomal RNA", at positions 29 to 507 of the family's 1533-position model. The record is from RNAcentral.